This 1200-nucleotide ribosomal RNA is filed under the name Delphacodes emeljanovi. RNAcentral describes it as "SSU rRNA". It matches the Rfam family "Eukaryotic small subunit ribosomal RNA", at positions 667 to 1773 of the family's 1831-position model. Lineage: Eukaryota; Metazoa; Arthropoda; Insecta; Hemiptera; Delphacidae. The record is from RNAcentral.
CUGUGUCCUUCGACGCCGGUUCACCGCUUGUCGGUGCCAACUGGCGUUUUGCGGGACGUCCUGUCGGUGGUGCGUCAGGAAUCUUAGUUGUGCUAUGCUCUGCUUAGUGCAGCUCUGGUUUCGGGCCACUUUCAUAAUCCCGCCGCGGUGCUCUUAAUCGAGUGUCGAGGUGGGCCGGCACGUUUACUUUGAACAAAUUAGAGUGCUUCAAGCAGGCUUGUCACGCCUGUAUACUGUGUGCAUGGAAUAAUGGAAUAGGACCUCGGUUCUAUUUUGUUGGUUUCCGGAAUCUGAGGUAAUGAUCAAUGGGGACAGGCGGGGGCAUUCGUAUUGCGACGUUAGAGGUGAAAUUCUUGGAUCGUCGCAAGACGGACCGAAGCGAAAGCAUUUGCCAAGUAUGUUCCCGUCGAUCAAGAACGAAAGUUAGAGGUUCGAAGGCGAUCAGAUACCGCCCUAGUUCUAACCAUAAACAAUGCCUGCCAGCGAUCCGCCGGCGUCCCUCCGAUGACCCGGCGGGCAGCUUCCGGGAAACCAGAGCUUUUGGGUUCCGGGGGAAGUAUGGUUGCAAAGCUGAAACUUAAAGGAAUUGACGGAAGGGCACCACCAGGAGUGGAGCCUGCGGCUUAAUUUGACUCAACACGGGAAAACUCACCAGGCCCGGACACUGGAAGGAUUGACAGAUUGAUAGCUCUUUCUUGAUUCAGUGGGUGGUGGUGCAUGGCCGUUCUUAGUUGGUGGAGCGAUUUGUCUGGUUAAUUCCGAUAACGAACGAGACUCUAGCCUACUAACUAGACGUAUCUGGUAUCAGCAAUCGUGCUACCAGCGAUCAUAUCUCUUCUUAGAGGGACAGGCGGCUUCUAGCCGCACGAGACUGAGCAAUAACAGGUCUGUGAUGCCCUUAGAUGUCCUGGGCCGCACGCGCGCUACACUGAAGGAAUCAGCGUGUCUUCCCUGUCCGAAAGGACCGGGUAACCCGCUGAACCUCCUUCGUGCUUGGGAUUGGGGCUUGCAAUUGUUCCCCAUGAACGAGGAAUUCCCAGUAAGCGCGAGUCAUAAGCUCGCGUUGAUUACGUCCCUGCCCUUUGUACACACCGCCCGUCGCUACUACCGAUUGAAUGAUUUAGUGAGGUCUUCGGACCGGUGCGCGGAGGCGGUUUUCCGCUCCCGAUGUUGUCGGAAAGAUGACCAAACUUGAUCAUU